Molecule: ribosomal RNA, 253 nt
Filed under: uncultured bacterium
Lineage: Bacteria
Description: partial 16S ribosomal RNA
Rfam family: Bacterial small subunit ribosomal RNA
Source: RNAcentral
UACGGAGGGUGCAAGCGUUACUCGGAAUCACUGAGCGUAAAGGGCGCGUAGGCGGCCUAGCAAGUCUGGUGUGAAAACCCAGGGCUCAACCCUGGAAGGGCACUGGAAACUGUUAGGCUUGAGUUCCGGAGAGGAGGGGGGAAUUCCCGGUGUAGCGGUGAAAUGCGUAGAUAUCGGGAGGAAUACCGGUGGCGAAGGCGCCCCUCUGGACGGAAACUGACGCUGAGGAGCGAAAGCGUGGGGAGCAAACAGG